Molecule: ribosomal RNA, 497 nt
Filed under: uncultured bacterium
Lineage: Bacteria
Description: partial 16S ribosomal RNA
Rfam family: Bacterial small subunit ribosomal RNA
Source: RNAcentral
GAUGAACGCUGGCGGCGUGCUUAACACAUGCAAGUCGAACGGAAAGGCGAGGAUCUUGCUGGUCGCACGUGAGCGGCGGGCGGGUGAGACACACGAGGAUACCCUACCUAUAAGACUGGGAUAACUACGGGAAACCGGAUAUAACACCGGAUAAUAUCUUGAACCGCAGGGUUCAUUGGAGAAAGACGGCUUUGCUGUCUCGUAUAGAGGGUUCCGGGCCGGAUUGGCUAGUUGGUACGGUAACGGCUUACGAAGGCGACGAUGCGUAGCCGACCUGAGAGGAUGAUAGGCCACACUGGAACUGAGACACGGUCCAGACUCCUACGGGAGGCAGCAGUAGGGAAUUUUAGGCAAUGGGCGAAAGCCUGACGCAGCAACGCCGCGUGUGUGAUGAAGGCCUUCGGAUCGUAAAGCUCUGUUAUUGGGGACGAACAGAUGUGUACGUAAACAAGGAGGUGUUGACGGUACCUGCUCAAAAAGCACCGGCUAACUACGUG